CAGGUCUUGACAUCCCUCUGACCGCUCUAGAGAUAGAGUUUUCCUUCGGGACAGAGGUGACAGGUGGUGCAUGGUUGUCGUCAGCUCGUGUCGUGAGAUGUUGGGUUAAGUCCCGCAACGAGCGCAACCCUUAUUGUUAGUUGCCAUCAUUCAGUUGGGCACUCUAACGAGACUGCCGGUAAUAAACCGGAGGAAGGUGGGGAUGACGUCAAAUCAGCAUGCCCCUUAUGACCUGGGCUACACACGUGCUACAAUGGCUGGUACAACGAGUCGCAAGCCGGUGACGGCAAGCUAAUCUCUUAAAGCCAGUCUCAGUUCGGAUUGUAGGCUGCAACUCGCCUACAUGAAGUCGGAAUCGCUAGUAAUCGCGGAUCAGCACGCCGCGGUGAAUACGUUCCC
RNAcentral lists this ribosomal RNA (399 nucleotides) under uncultured bacterium. RNAcentral describes it as "bacterial SSU rRNA". It matches the Rfam family "Bacterial small subunit ribosomal RNA", at positions 975 to 1375 of the family's 1533-position model. The record is from RNAcentral.